Molecule: non-coding RNA, 104 nt
Organism: Mycena amicta
Lineage: Eukaryota; Fungi; Basidiomycota; Agaricomycetes; Agaricales; Mycenaceae
Source: the annotation of a GenBank genome assembly
GCGUUCGUGGUGUAUCGGUAACAUUGGGUCUUCCCAGUACACUCUCAAAAAUAUUGCCGGAGUGAAUAAUGGCCUAGCACCGGGUUCGACUCCCGGCGGACGCA